Molecule: unclassified non-coding RNA, 7537 nt
Filed under: Schistocerca americana (American grasshopper)
Lineage: Eukaryota; Metazoa; Arthropoda; Insecta; Orthoptera; Acrididae
Description: serine/threonine-protein kinase NLK-like, transcript variant X1
Source: RNAcentral
CUGGAGGGACGCAGUGCUUGGGGAGGUUGCGUGUUGCUGCGAGUGUUGUGAUGGUGCAUUACUGACAAGUGUGUGAUGGGUAGAAAGUUCUCAAAAACGAUAACUUUUGCGACGUUACCCAUAUUAAUGUGUGUAUUUUUCGUUCUGGAGAGUUCUAACAACACGAGAGAAGAUUCGCAUGAAUGAAGGACUCAGACAUGAAAGCAAGGGCAAGACUUCGACGAAUACCGUGUUAAAAUUAAUAGAGUAGUGAGUAGCAAUAUUUUGUGUCACGUAUUGGUGAAAUUAAUGUUCGUGGUUUAACGACAGAUGGAGUGAAGUGAUAUAUAUGUAAAUGAAUUGAAAAAGGAAGACAGGAAAAGGAAUGAGACAACGUGCAAAGAGGCUGCUGCAACACAUGUUUCGUGCCGUUUACGUGGAAUCGUACGUCUUUGUACUUAAGGAGACGGCGUUGAGGACUCAGCGUAUUAUUCAGAUGUGGCUGUGAUAUUGAAAAUCUUUUCUCUCUUUCUCCGCCAGUUGACAACAACAAGAACAGAAAAAUUCGUUCAAGAAUUUAAUUCUGAAGUUAUUCGAGCGAUUAAAGGAUUUCAUCGACGUACGAAGACAACCGACAAAAGACCAUUCUCGGGACGGAUAUUUCUGACCCGUGUUAGAUAGCAACUUCAUGGCUGUAGUUGGUCCUAGCAGACACUCCAGAGUGUCCAUGUCCGUGUCGAUGCCGCUCAUGCCUGGCGGGGGAGGAGGGGGAGGACACCAACAAGCCAUAUUAGCAGCUGCCCAGCCUUAUUACCACCCACAACAUUCUCACCAAACGCCAGCAACGCCUGCACAUUCUCACACACAGGAUGUGCAACCGGAUAGACCAAUCGGUUAUGGAGCUUUCGGAGUCGUUUGGGCGGUGACGGACCCGAGGGACGGGCGGCGCGUCGCGCUCAAGAAGCUGCCCAACGUCUUCCAGUCGCUCGUCUCGUCCAAGCGCGUCUUCCGCGAGCUCAAGAUGCUCUGCUUCUUCAAGCACGAGAACGUGCUGUCCGCGUUGGACAUCCUCCAGCCGCCGCACCUGGACUUCUUCCAGGAAAUCUAUGUCAUCACGGAGCUCCUGCAGAGUGAUCUACACAAAAUAAUAGUAUCUCCCCAGCACCUGUCCGCCGACCACAUCAAAGUCUUCCUCUACCAGAUCCUCAGAGGUCUGAAAUACCUGCAUUCUGCACGCAUCUUGCACCGUGAUAUAAAACCGGGGAACCUACUUGUCAACAGCAAUUGUGUCCUCAAGAUCUGCGACUUCGGGUUGGCACGCGUAGAGGAGCCAGACCAGUCAAAGCACAUGACUCAGGAGGUGGUGACACAGUACUACCGGGCGCCUGAAAUACUGAUGGGCGCGCGACACUACUCCGCUGCCGUAGACGUCUGGAGCGUCGGCUGCAUCUUCGGGGAGCUUCUUGGGCGACGCAUCCUCUUUCAAGCGCAGAGCCCAGUCCAACAGCUGGAGUUAAUAACGGAACUACUUGGCACACCGUCACUGGAAGACAUGCGGUACGCUUGUGACGGGGCACGAACCCACAUGCUGCGACGUGCACCAAAGCCACCCUCCAUGGCUGCCCUAUACACCCUCUCCUCACAGGCCACGCAUGAGGCAGUGCACCUGCUGUGCCAGAUGCUGGUUUUUGACCCUGACAAACGAAUAACAGUUGGUGAUGCUCUGGCUCACCCGUACUUGGACGAGGGCCGCUUAAGAUACCACUCCUGCAUGUGCAAGUGUUGCUACACGACUCCGGGAGGCCUCAGGCAGUACACACCGGACUUCGAGCCUGUUGCACCCCACAGCUUUGAUGAUCUGUGGGAGAAGAAGCUGACUUCUGUUCAGCAGGUCAAAGAGGAAAUGCACAAGUUUAUUGCAGAACAACUGAAUACCAGUAGAGUCCCGUUGUGCAUUAAUCCUCAAUCUGCAGCUUUCAAGAGUUUUGCCAGGUAAGGCUGCAACCACAGCCACAAGAGGCAAACAUCUGGAGGGCCUUCUCUUCUCCUACUUCAUCCCUUCCCCGAUAAUGAUCGAUAAAGCUCUAUGUCGUACUCCGGACAUGCUGAGAGGCUCUACAGUUGCCCACCCGUCUGAACUACCUCCCUCGCCCCAUCAAUGGGAGUGACGCUAUCCUCAUCCUAGCAUCCAAUUGUGAAAAUGUCUAGAAUAUUCUCGUUCUCGCCCGGUUGUUGGGUUGCUUCUCUUCCACAUGUGGCAGCCGAGUGGGGUAUGGUUUGCACCUAAUGCAAAUUAAUAACUUAACAUACCUGAAUUUUGAUUCCAGACUAAUCUUCACAAACUAACGUUUCUAAACGUGGUGGUGAAGUGUGUAGGAGUGUGGCUGUUGGGAGAGUAAGGACACAUCAUGAUGGCAACCGUCAAAAAUAAAAGAUUUCGUAUUGUUGGUAAAUACUAAUAAACAAAUUGGGAAGUGUAAAUAGUGAACUGUGCCUCUGUAUAUACCGAGAUGUGAUUGUAUUAAUGAUGCCAUUACAUGCAAUCAGUGCAGUGUUAAUGAACAAGUGAAAAUGUGUGUGACAGUCAUUUGAUAUUUGCUUGAAAAUGUGGUAUUAACUCUGACAGGCCUGUUCAGAGAGUAACCGUGUCAAGUGGCAAAAGAAGUGUGUGUUCAUUAGUACUGAUUGAACACUGUAUUCAAACUCUGUGUGUGUGUGUGUGUGUGUGUGUGUGUGUGUGUGUGUGUGUGUGUGUGGGCGUGCGUGCGUGCGUGCACACAUGUGCGCCAGUGGAUUUGUACACAAAAUAAUGGUAUCUGCCUAGUAUCUGGAAGGCAGUUUCAUGGUAAAUCAGUGCAUUUGAUACAAAAUUUAUUUGACUGUUAAUUUAUCUACUUAAUAAGGCAUGUAUCUUUAUUUAUGUAUUGUAAAAAUAUUUAGUGGUGAGUUAUCAUAUAUAUCUGAGACUGCAGUGCAUUCAAAUUUUCUGGUGUUUAAAUAGUGAGAUCUGAAAUUGGUUUCUUUCAGUUACUGCAUUGCUUCUUCCUUAUCUGUGUCCUAACUCAUAAAACACUUUCUUGAUAUGUCUGUAGUUCCAGUUGGCUAACACGUUUCCUUGUCUUAUUUCACCUUCAUUAUAGUUGUAGCAUAAAUUUAAGUGCUGCUUAAGUUGUGGGCAUAGCAAGAUGCAUAGUAACUGUUAGUGUAGGAGACUAAGUUAACUGAUGGGGAAAUAUCUGAUACUGAUGUUCAUAAAGUAGUGACACAUCAUUAUUUUUUAAUAUAGGAAAGAGGUUUGCUAAUUGUAAUUUUUGUGUGUUUCAUCUGUUGUGUGAGGACAUUGCGAUGUGAAGAUGUAUAGUAGCUAUUAACAGUAUGUUAUGUUUUUAAUUAUUAUUUUUAGCUAUGAAGCAGAAUAAAAAAAUCUCAUGGCUCUGUUAACUUGUGUUUUGUGCUGGGCUUACAUUUAUGUUUGCAUUUAAUAUUUUCAACAGCAUUAGAAAUAAUGUGUUACGUAGUAAGAUUUCUCUCUCUCUCUCUCUCUCUCUGUGUGUGUGUGUGUGUGUGUGUGUGUGUGUGUGUGUGUGUGUGUGGUUGUAGACUCGUGUCUCAAACGGUAUAAAAUUUGCAGGCCUCUGUAGAUCACCGCUUGCCUUCAGGUUGUGUGUUGUCAUUAUUACUCUUGCGUUCUUGCUUGUACAUAAGAUAAGGAGAGCCAGUCAUUGUGACUGACUUGUUUUGUUAUUAUUAAUGUUUAGCUGUAAUACAUCCUGCUAUGCCCUAUUUUAAAGCUCUUAAUGCAAUACACUGCGGAACAUUUUGUUUGCAAUUGUAUCCACCGAUCUCAUAACACCAAUUAGUCAGAUUUUUAUCAGUUUAUUUCUUAGAGCAUUGUUGCUUAGUUGAUGUAUUUGAACUCUCUUAAUGAAUGUUUCCUAUUAUUUUAGUUAUUAGGGUACGAGAGGAUUGAUUUUGUGUUCCUCUGGUCAAUAUUUUAAAGUGUGAGCAUUGUGAGGCUUGAGUGUGAGAGCUUUGUAUUACUUUCAGAUUUAUUGAAAAUGACUUCUUAAACUAGGCGAUAAAAUGUUUCCCUAGUGAACUGACUUGUGUGCAUUUAAUGUAUUACCUACAUUUUAUGGUAGCAGCUGACCACCAAAUUUGAAAAAAAAUUAACAUUUGUAACUGAUGUACUGCAUUACAAUAUGUCUAUAAGGAUUACUUCAGAAUAGCAGACUUUUGAUGAGGAAAAUCACUAUAUACACACAUAAAUUGUAAUUUGAAAAGGUAAAGAAGAAUUUUAAAAAUAGGAAAUGUAUGUAUUUGUGUGUUGUAUUAAGAUACAAAGCUUUGUGAACAUUUUUUAAUUAUUUUACAUCCUGUCUUCCACAAAUUACUGAAUUAGCUUGUAUAGAAAAAGUUGCUUACAUAAUGAGUCAUUUCCUUUUCUUUGCUCAUGCAGAAAAAUAUAGUUUUAAGAAACAUGUUACAGUGAAAGCAUUGUAAUUGCAUUAAGUAAAAAAAUGUUCACUAUUGCUACAUUGGUACAGAAAAUGUAUGUGUGUAGCUCUGAGUUGUUUUAGAGCUCAUAUUAAUAUUCUCAGUAAAAUCUUACAGUACAUCAAAUGUUGAGAUUUAUGUUAAUCCCACAAACUGAGGCCUUACCAAAUACUGUCAGUAUAGUAUAUACAGUAGGUAACGAAUGAACUUGUGUGAUUUCCUGUGUGUAUAUGUCACGAUUACUCAAUGUCUGGAGUGAAAAAGAAAGACUUUUCAUCUGGGUGUUUAUUAUUAUCGCCAAAGUGUGAGUAAGAAAAUAUUCAGCUUAUCUUCUUUAUGUGUUUUAGAAGGUGUAUGGAACUUUGCCCUUUUUUCCCCCUUUAUGGAUGUAGGUAUGUGCAAAUGUUGUAUUUACUUUAAUUUUCCACCAGUCACUGCCAUUUGUAUCUGGUCUAUGGGUCAUAUUUCCAAUUGCUGGAACAGAGUUGUUCCUGUAUGGAGGGAAUGAAUCAUUCCUUAUAUACAAUAUAAUUAGCAUAUAAGCGAAACCUUAAUGGAGGUUUCCCAGCAAUUUCUGUUGCUGUGUGGCUUGGGAUCAAUCUUUAAUAGCUCACAGCAUUUCUCUGCUUCUCAUUUAACAACUGUGCAUCAUAUGCACAUUGCAUUAUAUCAUUACAGUUAAAGUACACUGGAGAAGUUUUACUUAUUAUGAGUGCAGUGUUAAUGACAAUUAUUGUACAGUGCACUAUUUCAUUAAUGAGGAGGAUUUUAUAAGUAAAGUUGAGUAGAUAAACUGCAAAAGAAUGUAGAUUCACUGUUCCAUAAUUGUAGCUUGAAAUAACACCCCGAAAAGUUUCAAAAGGAGCCUUAUAUAAAACACUUGCUUUCCUGUAUGUCCAUUUUUACUUCAGUAUGUGUCGGUUUGACAUAGUGACAAAUAUCGUGAAAUAAAAUGUACAUAAUACUAUAGAUUUAAAAAAAAAUAAAAAUUUUAAAUCAUUAUAGUAGGGAUGAAAAUCAGGAAAGAAUAAGUAAGGUAGAUGAGUUUAUUUUAACUAACAAUUCUCAGUGUUUAAGUAGCCAUAUUAUAAGACAGUUAUGUCAGGGAAGUUGCUCAUGUCAUUACUGAAAUGUUGACGAUUGUAGUUUUUGUGGUGUAAUACUUUUGCUCAUCUCUGUAAUUGUCACAUUUCACCAAUUGUAUAUCAGGAGUGGUUAUGUAGUGGACAGCACCAGUCUCUUCCUUAAUGUAAAUAUUGUAAAAUACAUUGUCAUUAUAUGUUAUGUGUGUAGGGUGAAGGUUUUUGCAACUUUGCUCUAUAAGAAUCAUCUCACUUAAGUAAUGUUGUACUCUAUUUAUUCUGUGUUCAUGGGAUGGUUCUUACAGACAUAUUUUUUUAAUACUUUAGAUUGACUCUAAUAUAUGGCUACCAUUGCUGUAGUAAAAGAAGUUGCCGAAUUUUGGUAGUGACUUGAAUUUGAAAGGCCAGUUAUUUCAUUAGCUUUGCCUGCAAACUGAUAAAUGUAAUUUAUUGACAGCUGACAAAGUACUAGGAGAACACAGCCCUCCAGUCGUAUGCAACAAGUGACAAUCUGGAAGCUUUGCUGAAUCCUGUAAAAAUAUCUGUAUGUUUAUAAUUAACAAACCUGUGCCAGGAUGCACAUAUGGAAAAUUUUUGUAACAUGAAAAUUCCGUUUAAUGGAAAUACAUAUUUGAUAAACCUAUUUACAGUGUUGUGAUAUUCAUUGGAGAAACAUUUAUUGGUCACUAAUUUAAUUAUGACAGAGAAUGACUAGAUGUGUAAUACCUUAAGCAUUAUUUACGGGAUGGAACUUGAAUAUCUCUUGGAACCUUCUCCUACCAUAUGAACCUGUAAUCAUAGUCUGUUAAAAUAAGAUGUGUUAGAUUUGUGCUGCAUCAAGUAUAUUUUGUGAGGACUACAAAGUGAUAGGAAGUAGAUUAUGCGGGUUAUCAUGCCACUAUCUACAGUGAGAGUUCUCAAUUAUGCUCAAGAGUUUAGUAGACAGAAGGUUUGAAAGUAAACUUGAAAGGUAAUUGUGAAUAUCUGUCAAAUAACUUUCCUCGUAGGAUAAUAUGUCCUCACUGUAGGCAUUGGGGGUCUGUGGGCACGUAAUAAAAUAUAUGCUGUGUGAAUGGGAAAUAUUGUGGAAACUGAAGACAUAUUUAUGUAAACUGAAAAUAAAAUAAUUAUUGUUUUCAGGAGUUCAAGAAAUUGUUCUGAAACGAUAUAAAUAACUUAGAAAAGGGAUAAAGAUGAUACUUUGACGCGUACUUAGUGUGUGGAAUGCAGUUUACAGUAACCUGUAUUUACUUAUUAUUGAAAGGAGAUUUGACUAGGAAUUACGUUAAAAAUUUAUUUAAGAAAAAUUUGCGCAAUAUUUUCAUAAUUUCCCUGUAUUAUACUGUAAGGGAUUUAGAUUCUUUAAAGUAGAUAUAAUCUUAAUGUGAAUAGUUAUGGUUCACAGUGAACAAAAACAGGAGAAGUGAUUCAGCAUAUUAGACUUACUGACACAUACAUACAUAAAUAAAGACACCAUCUUCAGUCAUUCCUGUUUAUUUACAAUGUUAGAACUAAGAUAAAUAGAGUAUUAUUUGUUUGAGAGGUGCAGUAAAGUGAAUGUAGUAUUGUAUCAAAGCUCCCAGUUCAUCACUUGUAAGGAGGGAACACAAUUUUGAGACACUAGUUUGACUGAAGAGCAACAUAGUUUUCUAUAAUGGCUAGUAUUAACUGUUUUGCUGACAAUAUUUGUGUAAAAUUAAAGAAAAUCAUAUAUGCAGGUUUACUUGCACUCUGUAUGCAUUUCAAGCUGCAGCAUGUACAAUUGUAGUUGUACGAAUUGUUUGUUUUUGCACUCAUGGUGUAAAUCGGCAGAGACACUGACAGUCAUUAACUUUGUUAUUCCAGAAUUAAUUUUAAACUACAUGCUCAUCCGCACACACGCACAGGCACACUCUCUCUCUCUCUCUCUCUCUCUCUCUCUCUCUCUCUCUCUCUCUCUGACACACACACACACACACACACACACACACACACACAAA